CGGGGCGGGAAUAGUGCCGUGCCUGUUUUGUGUGUCAAUUCUGACUGGAGAUUUAAGAAAAAUACUUAAAAGAUUAGUUUUCGGGAGCGCCUGGUGGCGCGCCGUGCAGAUGAAGCCUGCACUCCUGGUUAGUCUGCGCAGCUUCUGUGACGAGUCCUGGCGAAACCGCUGAGGGGCAGCAGGUUUUUACAUUGAAAUGGACUUUCAUGUGUAAAGAAAUCUGGAGCUAUCUGAAAGCCGUAGAGGGGCCCCCCCUCCCGAGUGCUGUAGCUGUGCACAGAGCCACCUGGAGGCACUGUUCGCACAGGUUGUUUCAGGCCUGUGCUUGAAAAGAUUGAGAUUUCAUCAGACAGAAAAAAAACUGAGAAAAAAUUAUUUUUUUAAAAAAGCAGGAUUUUUUUAAAAAGCCUUUGCCUUCAUAGGGUACACCUUUGAUUCUCCAUGGAUCUGUAACAAUGUGAUGCUUUUGUGAAGUGCUUUUUUAUGAAAACCUUUGUAGGAAGAGCCAGCAGGAUAUUCUAGCAUAUCAGCUGACAUAAUUGAAAAGAACAAAAUUUCCUGCAUGGGGCAGAAAAAUACUGCUGCUUGACCUUAAGUAUGGUGGAGUAUCUUUAUUCUUGUUUUUUCUCUUGGGUAGAACUGACCUAUUUUUUGUUUGUUUGUUUGUUUGUUUGAUUGAUUGAUUGAUUGAUUGAUUGACUGACUAUAAAUAAAAAUGGAUCAUGGAACAUCCUUCCUGUGUUACAAUUGUCACUUGAUCUCUUUUUUCAAUUGCACAGAAACAAUAACAUGCAAAUGUUUGCAUAUGACUGCUACAAAAACCUCUUGAACCACCCAGCAACAAUUGGUAAAGCUUAGUUGGAUUGAUGUGUUUGCUGUUGCUUUGUUAAUUAUGAGAUAAAUCAUAUUUCUCCCCCUUCCAAACAUACAUUUCUCAAUCUGCUUUGAAAUUCAUACUCUCCACUCUGAUUGCAUCAAGUCCUAUUUGCCAAAUUUAUUUUUCUUUCAGAUACAACAUUACUAGACACAGAAGCUCUGAAGUGUAGUUCACCAAGGAAUAUAGAAAGUCCAUCUUCAGAUUCCUAGUGUUGGGAUGUAAUUGAUUGCUGUCUGUCUCAGCAGUUGUAUGUGAAGAAGUACACACCACUGACAAAAUUCAGUGUCAUGACUUCAUAAAAUUUAUGUCAAAUACCGUUUAUCUAAAUAAAGUGUAACAGAAGAAAAAGAUAACGAAGAACUUUGACAUUCAUGACAUUCAAUGUCAUGUGUAAGAUUUAUUCUCUAUAUUUUAGGAAAGUCAAAGACUUUAGAUUUUCACUUCUGGAAACUUCUGAGGUUCAGAUCACUUCACUUCUGCUCACACGUAAAAAAAAAACAUAAGAGAUAGGAAUGUCUUCAUAGAGAUCUGAUGGAGGUGAUUUCUGGAUAUAUGAUGAAUCAUUCAGAGGGAAGAAUGAAUGAACAGGGUCUGUUUGAGAGAGAAACAAGGAAUGUAUGUAAAUCUUCAAGUGUAUAACAGACUUCAGCAAAUGAAGAAAUUCUUCAUGUCCUUAUGUCUCUAAUGAGCUGUAAAGAAAUAUGGAGAAAACCAAUAAAAAAUUAUAAAGAAAGAAUAAAUUCCAUCAAGGAAUAUUCAAAUUAGGAAAAUUUUAAGACUGAAGUAACCAGACAUGAUCCUUGUGGCUCCCUUCCGACUCCAAAUAUUUUGUGUUUCUGUGAUUGUAGACAUUGGACUAACCUAGCAUCACCAUGGAAGCUACAUUAUUAGACGUGAUAAAUGGUCCUUAGGGUACCAAAUACAGGAGCUAGCCUUAUAAAGCACCUUUUACUUACUUUUUAAGUUUUUAGACAUGCUUUCCAGGGAAACAAAUUUCCUAGGACUGUGCUGUUGGCCUGUCUUAUUUCCUUAACAAGACAUGUAAUUAACCAUUAGAAACAUGGAAAUCUAACAGUUUCCUUAUGCCUAAGUUAUUACAGAGAAAGAAAUGUGAAAGAAAGCUUUGUAGCUUGGUUGGCUUUGCUGGUUGUUUUUUGCGGGGAGUUUGGGAGUUUUUUUGAGGCAGGGGCUGCUGGAUUUUUUUGGUGAAGGUUGGGCUUUUUUGAUAGGUUGGAGUUUUUUAGUGAUCAAUAAAGCACCCUGAAGUUGUUUCCAUACCACAGAAAAUUCCUUUAUAUGCUCAGUCUGUGAUAUGAAUAAAACAGGGAAUGUUUGUUUCACCCCACUCCUGGGCCAGCUCUCAUUUUUCAUGUCUUCAAAUGGCCUUUGAAUAUUUCUCAUCAUAAUGUGUUAAAAUUCAUCCUUUUCAAGCUGGGUAUCAAAAAUUCAAAAUCACAUCUUCAUAAAUACCAGGUUCUUUAGUAUUCUGUGUUGUGAAGUCAUUAAUUUCAAUACAAAUUUUUGCACAUAAUGACAGUUUCCAAAAAAUCAGCCCAGCUACAUAUAUAGUUAGUGUAUGAUGAUCAAGCAGCAUUCCAUGCCGUAAGAAAUCCCUAAAGAGGUAAUGAUUGUUCAAAACACUUCUGUACUGGUUGUAGCCUUUGUUUUAAGCCACGUAAUUAUAUGUAUGUCCUUAGUGCUACAUGCUUUUUGGUAAUGAUUGAGGAUCUGGCAUUCCUGUUUUACAGAUUUUGCAAUAUUCCACCCUCUGCAGAGGCAACAUUGAAAAGCAUUUAGGAAGAAAAGGAAUUUAUAAAGCAUGUAAACUAGGAAUACCACUGGCAUCAAGAAAAUCCCGUCUGUUCAUGACAAGAAAUACGCGUUUCUGCCCUUCCCAGCGCUGGAGACGUUCCGAGCCUGUACAUCCACUCGGAUGGGUGAAGUUUUUCUGCAUCACCCGUGGCUGGUUUUUUUCCUUGUGUUGGGGAGUGUUUUUUUCCUGUGUGUUUGCUAAAUAAACAAGUUUUUUCCACUUUUCCUCUGAGGAAAUCCUUCCCGAACCCGGUAGGGGGAGGAGUUUGGGGAGUUUGUUUCUUAGGAGGCUCCCUUUGGAGAUUCUUCCCCUAAUUUGUCCUAAACCAGGACACCUGUCUACCACUAACAGUCUCAAAAGAAUACCUGAAGUUUCUCAUUGAACUGUUGCAUAUGUAUUUCCUGAACUGCAGAAUACCAGCAUGGAUAGAAAUAAGAGAAUAAGCAUAUACAUAAAAAAAUAGACUAAAAUUUUCAACACUAACUGUGAGAAUGAGAGUUUCAUAAAGGUAGUGGCCUCAAUGUAGGAUGGGUGGAAAUUCAUUCUAGACAGAAAUUGAAUGGUACUUUGCAAAAAUAAAUGGUGGAAAUGUGUCCUUCACAAGGUCCAAAUAUAGUGGUAUCCUUCCUAUGAAAACCUUCUCAACAAAUCAAUGUACAAAUUCCAUGGGUUUUCUGAACUUAAAUGGAUCGAUCUAAUUUCUAACAGAGUUUUUCAUUUAUUAAAAUUAAGAUGGUAGAGUGAAUCAAUCAGCUUAAAAAAAAAAAAAAAAAAAGAGAGAAGCAUGUUGUACCACUCUUCUAAAUAGAAAUUGUGUCUUAGAAACCCGUAGAGGUUUUGCUGUUAUAAAGAUAACCAAGUAAUUAAAGUGAGAUUUACAGAAAUCAACUGCAUCUUUUAAAAAUUAGUUUUUUACUGAAGAUAGAAUAUUCUUUUUGAGGUCUUACAAUUCAAAGUGUGAAGAUAAUACAGUACUAUUCCAUUACAUUAUUUUUUAUUAAUUUGACCUUUUUUUAAGAUUGCACAGUAGUUUCUUAAGCAUCUUAGUCCACAGAAGACUACAAUUGUGUACAUGGUACUU
Oenanthe melanoleuca is the source of this 3771-nucleotide long non-coding RNA. RefSeq lists it as uncharacterized. Lineage: Eukaryota; Metazoa; Chordata; Aves; Passeriformes; Muscicapidae. The transcript is spliced from 4 exons. The record is from RefSeq and is a predicted model, not a curated record.